RNAcentral lists this ribosomal RNA (479 nucleotides) under uncultured bacterium. RNAcentral describes it as "partial 16S ribosomal RNA". It matches the Rfam family "Bacterial small subunit ribosomal RNA", at positions 30 to 507 of the family's 1533-position model. The record is from RNAcentral.
AUUGAACGCUGGCGGCAGGCUUAACACAUGCAAGUCGAACGAUGAAACUCUAGCUUGCUAGAGAUGAUUAGUGGCGGACGGGUGAGUAACAUUUAGGAAUCUGCCUAGUAGUGGGGGAUAGCUCGGGGAACUCGAAUUAAUACCGCAUACGACCUACGGGUGAAAGGGGGCGCAAGCUCUUGCUAUUAGAUGAGCCUAAAUCAGAUUAGCUAGUUGGUGGGGUAAAGGCCCACCAAGGCGACGAUCUGUAACUGGUCUGAGAGGAUGAUCAGUCACACCGGAACUGAGACACGGUCCGGACUCCUACGGGAGGCAGCAGUGGGGAAUAUUGGACAAUGGGGGCAACCCUGAUCCAGCCAUGCCGCGUGUGUGAAGAAGGCCUUUUGGUUGUAAAGCACUUUAAGCAGGGAGGAGAGGCUAAUGGUUAAUACCCAUUAGAUUAGACGUUACCUGCAGAAUAAGCACCGGCUAACUCUGUG